Molecule: ribosomal RNA, 442 nt
Filed under: uncultured bacterium
Lineage: Bacteria
Description: partial 16S ribosomal RNA
Rfam family: Bacterial small subunit ribosomal RNA
Source: RNAcentral
CCUACGGGUGGCAGCAGUAGGGAAUCUUGCACAAUGGGCGAAAGCCUGAUGGAGCAACGCCGCGUGCAGGAUGAAGGCCUUCGGGUUGUAAACUGCUUUUAUAAGCGAGAAAUAUGAUGGUAACUUAUGAAUAAGGAUCGGUUAACUACGUGCCAGCAGCCGCGGUCAUACGUAGGAUCCGAGCAUUAUUCGGAGUGACUGGGUGUAAAGAGGUGCGUAGGUGGCAUAAGAAGUAGCUAGUGUAAUUUGGUGGCUCUACCAUUCAGACUAUUAGCUAAACUGUUGAGCUCGAGACCGUGAGGAGUAACUGGAAUGUCUAGUGUAGGAGUGAAAUCCGUAGAUAUUAGGAAGAACACCGAUAGCGUAGGCAGGUUACUGGGACGGUUCUGACACUAAGGCACGAAAGCGUAGGGAGCAAACGGGAUUAGAUACCCUGGUAGUC